GUUAUAUGGUCAAGAAGAGAAGCGCAAACGGUGGAUGCCUUGGCAGUAAGAGGCGAAGAAGGACGUGGAAUCCUGCGAAAAGCUAUGGGGAGCUGGAAACGAGCGUUGAGCCAUAGAUGUCCGAAUGGGGGAACCCGGCUGCAGUAAUGCGGUCAUUUGCAUUUGAAUACAUAGGAUGCAAAGGCGAACUCGGGGAACUGAAACAUCUAAGUACCCGAAGGAAAAGAAAUCAAGAGAGAUUCUCCAAGUAGCGGCGAGCGAACGGGGAGGAGCCUGGCGUGAUUUAUUAUUGAAUUGAGUAGAACAACUUGGGAAGGUUGGCCAUAGAGGGUGAAAGCCCCGUAUACGAAGGUUUGAUGAGGAACUAGGCACGCGAACAAGUAGGCCGGGACACGUGAAAUCCUGGUUGAAGAUGGGUGGACCAUCAUCCAAGGCUAAAUACUACUUACUGACCGAUAGUGAACCAGUACCGUGAGGGAAAGGUGAAAAGAACCCCGGAGAGGGGAGUGAAAUAGAAUCUGAAACCGUUUGCGUACAAGCAGUGGGAGCAUGGUUUAGGCUGUGUGACUGCGUACCUUUUGUAUAAUGGGUCAGCGAGUUACUUUCAGUGGCGAGGUUAACUGCAUAAGGGAGCCGUAGAGAAAUCGAGUCUGAAUAGGGCGAUAGUCGCUGGGAGUAGACCCGAAACCGGGCGAUCUAGCCAUGUGCAGGAUGAAGGUUGGGUAACACCAACUGGAGGUCCGAACCGGGUAAUGUUGAAAAAUUAUCGGAUGACGUGUGGCUAGGAGUGAAAGGCUAAUCAAGCCCGGAGAUAGCUGGUUCUCCCCGAAAGCUAUUUAGGUAGCGCCUCGUGAAUGAUUACUGGGGGUAGAGCACUGUUUCGGCUAGGGGGCUGUCAUGGCUUACCAAACCGAUGCAAACUCCGAAUACCGGCUAAUUGGAUCACGGGAGACACACGGCGGGUGCUAACGUCCGUCGUGGAGAGGGAAACAACCCAGACCGCCAGCUAAGGUCCCCAAGUACUAGUUAAGUGGGAAACGAUGUGGGAAGGCAUAGACAGCCAGGAGGUUGGCUUAGAAGCAGCCACCCUUUAAAGAAAGCGUAAUAGCUCACUGGUCGAGUCGGCCUGCGCGGAAGAUGUAACGGGGCUAAAACUAGUCACCGAAGCUGCGGAUGUGCGCGAAGGCGCACGUGGUAGGGGAGCGUUCUGUAGGCUGAUGAAGGUGCAUUGAGAGGUGUGCUGGAGGUAUCAGAAGUGCGAAUGCUGACAUGAGUAACGAUAAUGUGGGUGAAAAGCCCACACGCCGGAAGUCCCAGGUUUCCUGCACGACGUUAAUCGGAGCAGGGUGAGUCGGCCCCUAAGGCGAGGCUGAAGAGCGUAGUCGAUGGGAACCAGGUUAAUAUUCCUGGACUUUUUAUAAGUGGUGAAGUGGGGACGAAGAAGGCUAGGUGAGCCAGGCGUUGGUUGUCCUGGUACUUGCAUGUAGGGGGGAAGACUUGGCAAAUCCGGUUUUCCGAUACUCUGAGGUGCGAAGUGGUUCUGACCUUUUGGUACAGAGAAGUCAUUGAUGCCCGGCUUCCAGGAAAAGCUGCUAGCCAU
RNAcentral lists this ribosomal RNA (1600 nucleotides) under Legionella pneumophila. RNAcentral describes it as "partial 23S ribosomal RNA". It matches the Rfam family "Bacterial large subunit ribosomal RNA", at positions 1 to 1628 of the family's 2925-position model. The record is from RNAcentral. Lineage: Bacteria; Pseudomonadati; Pseudomonadota; Gammaproteobacteria; Legionellales; Legionellaceae.